UCGAAGGUGGAAUCAAUAACUGGGGUGAAGUCGUAACAAGGUAGCCGUAUCGGAAGGUGCGGCUGGAUCACCUCCUUUCUAAGGAGA
RNAcentral lists this ribosomal RNA (87 nucleotides) under Clostridioides difficile. RNAcentral describes it as "partial 16S ribosomal RNA". The stretch from base 1 to 78 matches the Rfam family "Bacterial small subunit ribosomal RNA", at positions 1456 to 1533 of the family's 1533-position model. Lineage: Bacteria; Bacillati; Bacillota; Clostridia; Peptostreptococcales; Peptostreptococcaceae. The record is from RNAcentral.